RNAcentral lists this ribosomal RNA (253 nucleotides) under uncultured bacterium. Its description in RNAcentral is "partial 16S ribosomal RNA". It matches the Rfam family "Bacterial small subunit ribosomal RNA", at positions 524 to 776 of the family's 1533-position model. The record is from RNAcentral.
UACGAAGGGUGCAAGCGUUAAUCGGAAUUCCUGGGCGUAAAGCGUGCGUAGGCGGUUUGUUAAGUCUGCUGUGAAAUCCCCGGGCUCAACCUGGGAAUGGCAGUGGAUACUGGCAAGCUAGAGUGUGUCAGAGGAUGGUGGAAUUCCCGGUGUAGCGGUGAAAUGCGUAGAGAUCGGGAGGAACAUCAGUGGCGAAGGCGGCCAUCUGGGACAACACUGACGCUGAGGCACGAAAGCGUGGGGAGCAAACAGG